GGUUAAGCGAUUAAGCGUACACGGUGGAUGCCCUGGCAGUCAGAGGCGAUGAAGGGCGUGCUAAUCUGCGAUAAGCGCCGGUAAGGUGAUAUGAACCGUUAUAACCGGCGAUACCCGAAUGGGGAAACCCAGUGUGACUCGUCACACUAUCAUUAACUGAAUCCAUAGGUUAAUGAGGCGAACCGGGGGAACUGAAACAUCUAAGUACCCCGAGGAAAAGAAAUCAACCGAGAUUCCCCCAGUAGCGGCGAGCGAACGGGGAGGAGCCCAGAGCCUGAAUCAGCAUGUGUGUUAGUGGAAGCGUCUGGAAAGGCGCGCGAUACAGGGUGACAGCCCCGUACACAAAAAGCGCAUGUGCUGUGAGCUCGAUGAGUA
This 375-nucleotide ribosomal RNA is filed under the name Salmonella enterica subsp. enterica serovar Agona str. SA-2. Its description in RNAcentral is "bacterial LSU rRNA". It matches the Rfam family "Bacterial large subunit ribosomal RNA", at positions 1 to 414 of the family's 2925-position model. The record is from RNAcentral. Lineage: Bacteria; Pseudomonadati; Pseudomonadota; Gammaproteobacteria; Enterobacterales; Enterobacteriaceae.